UGAGGAAUAUUGGACAAUGGAGGAAACUCUGAUCCAGCCAUGCCGCGUGAGUGAAGAAGGCCUUCGGGUUGUAAAGCUCUUUCAGAUGCGAAGAUAAUGACGGUAACAUCAGAAGAAGCCCCGGCUAAAUUCGUGCCAGCAGCCGCGGUAAUACGAAUGGGGCAAGCGUUGUUCGGAAUCACUGGGCUUAAAGCGUACGUAGGCGGAUUUGCAAGUCAGGAGUGAAAUCCCGGGGCUCAACCUCGGAACUGCUCUUGAAACUGCAAGUCUAGAAUCCGGGAGAGGUUAGUGGAAUUCCUAGUGUAGAGGUGAAAUUCGCAGAUAUUAGGAGGAACACCAGUGGCGAAGGCGACUAACUGGACCGGUAUUGACGCUGAGGUACGAAAGCGUGGGGAGCAAACAGG
RNAcentral lists this ribosomal RNA (404 nucleotides) under uncultured bacterium. RNAcentral's name for it is "bacterial SSU rRNA". It matches the Rfam family "Bacterial small subunit ribosomal RNA", at positions 355 to 776 of the family's 1533-position model. The record is from RNAcentral.